GUGGUGAGGGGCUCCUCGCCGGUGUCAAAAAAACCCCGAAUUUCCCCCUUGCCAUCGGAGCGAAUGUAUAAAAGGACUCGUGGUUCGGUCCCCCCCUCAUCACUGCUUCAGCCGAGACGCCCAGUUCAACUAAACAGUCAUGAAGGCAGCCUUUCUGCUCGCUCUCGCCCUGCUGCUGGUUGCAACGGCGCAGGCAACGGUUGGCGUGGCCUACGGAUACGGCUCACCCUACGGCUACGGCGGCCUUGGCUACGGCGGCCUCGGCUACGGCGGCUACAGACCAUACGGCUACAGGCCUUACGGGCUAGGAUAUGGCUACAGGCCGUAUGGCAUCGGCUACGGCGGCUACAGACCGUACGGCCUCGGUUACGGCUACGGCGGCUACGUCGGCUAGCUCUGGAGCAGACGGGUCGGCUUAUAUUACGAACUGCUGGAGCCCCCACAAGGACGCCGUUUUCUGAAGGUGGAAAUAAAGCUCGAGAAAACGA
Long non-coding RNA from Ixodes scapularis (black-legged tick), 488 nucleotides. RefSeq lists it as uncharacterized. The record is from RefSeq and is a predicted model, not a curated record. The transcript is spliced from 3 exons. Lineage: Eukaryota; Metazoa; Arthropoda; Arachnida; Ixodida; Ixodidae.